UACGAAGGGGGCUAGCGUUGCUCGGAAUCACUGGGCGUAAAGGGUGCGUAGGCGGGUCUUUAAGUCAGGGGUGAAAUCCUGGAGCUCAACUCCAGAACUGCCUUUGAUACUGAGGAUCUUGAGUUCGGGAGAGGUGAGUGGAACUGCGAGUGUAGAGGUGAAAUUCGUAGAUAUUCGCAAGAACACCAGUGGCGAAGGCGGCUCACUGGCCCGAUACUGACGCUGAGGCACGAAAGCGUGGGAGCAACAGGG
Molecule: ribosomal RNA, 252 nt
Filed under: uncultured bacterium
Lineage: Bacteria
Description: partial 16S ribosomal RNA
Rfam family: Bacterial small subunit ribosomal RNA
Source: RNAcentral